Non-coding RNA from Sarcophilus harrisii (Tasmanian devil), 45 nucleotides. The record is from Rfam. Lineage: Eukaryota; Metazoa; Chordata; Mammalia; Dasyuromorphia; Dasyuridae.
CAAAAGGCCCUUUUCAGGGCCCUUCAUUUUCUCACUUAAAAAGAG